GGCCUGAUAGCUCAGUUGGGAGAGCGUGAGAUUCCAAAGAAACCUUUGCAUCUCAAGGUCAUCCGUUCAAGCCGGGUUCGGGUCA
Non-coding RNA from Jaminaea rosea, 85 nucleotides. Lineage: Eukaryota; Fungi; Basidiomycota; Exobasidiomycetes; Microstromatales. The record is from the annotation of a RefSeq genome assembly.